CAUGGUGAUUUCCAUGAGACAUGUUGGAACUUUGGAUUCCAACAGAGGGAGGAUGAAGGAUUGUGGCAUGUGUUUCUGUUAAAAGUUCACAUAUAGAGGACAGCACAAAACAAGAAAAGCUAAUCUUGUGAACGGAGGGAAGUACCUAUCCAAUAUACAUUUUCAUUUAGGAAAAUUAUAACUUAUUUUGAUUAUAAACAUAUUCAUCAUCCCUGUAAAAAAAUCAGAGAGCGGAUGGGUUCUCCAGUAGGUUUGACAAAUGUUUGACAUCAGCAAGUCAGGAAGGUAGGAAAUUCAGACUUUAGGUUUUUGUUAGUAAUUUUGUAUGAUUUGUGUUUAUAAUUGACUGGAAACUGUAGUAGCCUUUUAUUCAAGUUAUAAAUUUCUAAUUUUGAGAAAUUGGAGAUCAGAUGCAUCACAUGACAUAGAAAAAUGAAGAUUAAAUUUUUUAAAUAUUUUUUGAAAUUAAGAAAGUGAAACUUUUAUUAAAAUUUGAAUAAUAAAUUACAUUUUCAUGCUAAGUUUAUCGGCAUACAUAAAGAUGUUUAGUUAAAUUUUGAAUGUAACACUGCAAAAAGUCGUAACUCUGCUAUAUGGAAAGCGAGAAAUAGAUCUUAUGAUAAUUUACAAAGUUAGGUUUUUAUUUCUGGUUAUUUUUCCUAACCUCUUGAGUUGAGAUUAUAUUGUUCAGUUAGAAGUUGGAAGUUCAGUUGUGUCAUUUAUUAAAGUCUCGGCCCCAUGUAUUGAAACUGUGAGUUUGUUAUGUUUAACUUCAAAAAGUUAUAAUAAAUACUCUGAUGUAACAUUUCAAGCAUUCUUAGUGUUAAAUAAAACUUUAGUUACAAAGCAAAUGUAUGGAAGAAAGCCAGUUGGUUCAGUAAUCUAAACUUAUCCUUUUUUUUGUUCAUAAAGUCAUAGAAAGACUUUGAAUGGAUCCAAACUGACAAUACAUACAGUGUAACAUUUACUCCAAUAAUCUGUUUAAUAAGAAAUAAUUCUAUAUUAAAUCAGGCUUGCAUUAAGUUUGUAACUUUAUCUUUCCCAAAAUAAAACACUAUUAAUAGGCAGUUUUACAAACCUCUAGACAUUCACAUCCAGUUAAUUUAAUUCUGCAUUUUAAAGAAAAUAUGAGAUUUAUCUUUUAUUCUUUAAACUACUCUAGUAGUCCUUUCUUUGUAGUCUACAGUGAAUAAUCCAAAAUUGAACUUAUUAUUCUAAAAGUCGUCUAAGAAAAGAUUACAAAACAGAAUUGUUUCUUUCAGUUGAAAUUAUGCAAGUAUGUGAUGAGCAGCAUGUUUUUUAUUUGUUUACAUAAGUAGAACCUCAACACAAGGUUAUAUUGAUUGCUCCCAGUUCCAUUAUUCUAAUGUAACUCAAGUUUUUUUCACAAUAACAUUUUCAUACCCCAGUCCAUGACUUCAUGCUUUUAAAUAUUAUAAUAGGCUUUCUAAAUCAGAGACUUAUCGUUAUUAUCCUGAUUUUUACUACCUGUAGGACUUAAUUAAAAGGGUUGUAUAAGAGUUAUAGAGCAGUGUUUCUCAAUCACUGUUUACAGACCAGUGCCAAUCUGUCACAACCACCUUGCCAGUCUGUGGGAUUUCAUGAAAAGAAACAAACAAGAAAACAAAAACUGGCAGAAUAUUCACAUGUAAAUCAUAAUGUUUUUCAAUAUACUUGCAUUUCAAUGGUCCAUGACAGUUUAAGGAGCCAGUGAGCUGCUUUCUGGUAACAAAAAAAGAUUUAGAAACUGUUAAAAUGUAGUCCAUUUUCAAACAGUGUAGCAGAAAUGUAGCCAUUAGUGCAACUAGAUGUAGCUGUUUAAUUUAUACAAGAAACAAAGUAAUGGUUUUAAUUAAAGUUAUAGACUGAAAUAUUUUGCUUCAAUAAAUCUUUUAUAGUUUUACUGUGUGUGUAGCAGUUACUGUGUUAUGAUGUGUCUGUGGAAAUAUAAGUCUUUGUUUACUUCCAAAUUAUUGAUCUUAUUGAAUUCCUAUAUUUUUGGAGACAUUUCAUGCCUAGUGUGUGUGUGCAUGCUUCUAUUUUUUGUUCUUUCAUUCAACUACAGUAUAAUUUGUAUUUCACUGAGAAAGACCUGCCACAAGGCCUGCUAUUUAACUGAAAAAAGAUGGAUGUACUACUUAAAAGAAAGAAGAAAAUAAUUCAAAUGUGUAAACCAAGAAGCUUGGAGGCUAUAAGUUUACAUUGUGGCUCAGAAAUAUCUGUACUAUAAAGAAGAAAGAUCCACCUUUUGAAAAUGCUCGGGUGAAAAAAAACCUGUUCAGGUUAAAAUUCUACUCCGAACUGUAAUAAACUCAGUGCAGCCUCACAUCAUCAUAGAAAAAUGUGGCUUGUGGCAGGUCCUACCAGUGGAUUAGCCUCAUCAGCUAAGUACUCACUAGUAUUUAAUAGCUAAUUUCAACAUCUUAAUGGUAAAAUCAUUCAGAUGAAGGUUUUGAUCAUUACAGGUAUUGGGAAAUAAUUUCUUUAUUUUCCUGUAAUUUUGUGAAAAGAAUUUGGUUAAAAAUUGAUAUAUUUUAUGAGGCCUGCAAUUAUACAUUAGGGUAACUAUUCUUUGUAAUAUCAAUCAUUUUCCCCCCACAUUUUUUUUUUAUGAUUUUUC
This is a long non-coding RNA of Limulus polyphemus (Atlantic horseshoe crab), 2620 nucleotides long. RefSeq lists it as uncharacterized. The transcript is spliced from 3 exons. NCBI's taxonomy places the organism in Eukaryota, Metazoa, Arthropoda, Merostomata, Xiphosura, Limulidae. The record is from RefSeq and is a predicted model, not a curated record.